This 288-nucleotide ribosomal RNA is filed under the name Triticum aestivum (bread wheat). Its description in RNAcentral is "partial small subunit ribosomal RNA". The record is from RNAcentral. Lineage: Eukaryota; Viridiplantae; Streptophyta; Magnoliopsida; Poales; Poaceae.
AUGAGACGGGCUCUUAUUUAUGAAUUCAUGCCUAACGAGUCACUAGAAAAAUACAUAUUCGCACAUAUUUCUGAUAUUUCUCGACAACUCCUAGCACCCAACAAAAUGGUAGAUAUUGCUUUAGGCAUUGCCCGAGGAAUGGAAUACCUGCAUCAAGGCUGCAACCAGCGGAUUCUCCAUUUUGACAUCAAACCACACAACAUCUUGCUGGACUACAACUUCAACCCGAAGAUAUCAGACUUUGGCCUUGCAAAGCUGUGUGCAAGGGACCAGAGCAUUGCACCUUGA